AUCCUUUUACAGUUCAUAAGCAUGAAGAUUGGGUGUUCACCCUGUUGUAUGACAUGUGCUUCCCUCAAACCUUGUAAUGACCUCGGCACAUUACCCAUCUGAUG
Puma concolor (puma) is the source of this 104-nucleotide small nucleolar RNA. RefSeq annotates it as small nucleolar RNA U13. NCBI's taxonomy places the organism in Eukaryota, Metazoa, Chordata, Mammalia, Carnivora, Felidae. The record is from RefSeq and is a predicted model, not a curated record.